Molecule: transfer RNA, 65 nt
Filed under: Parachauliodes rastellus
Lineage: Eukaryota; Metazoa; Arthropoda; Insecta; Megaloptera; Corydalidae
Description: tRNA-Phe
Source: RNAcentral
AUUUAAAUAGCUUAUGUAUAGAGUAUAACAUUGAAGAUGUUAGGGAGAUAAUGUAUCUUUAAAUA